This 500-nucleotide ribosomal RNA is filed under the name uncultured bacterium. RNAcentral describes it as "partial 16S ribosomal RNA". It matches the Rfam family "Bacterial small subunit ribosomal RNA", at positions 29 to 523 of the family's 1533-position model. The record is from RNAcentral.
AUUGAACGCUGGCGGCAUGCCUUACACAUGCAAGUCGAACGGCAGCACGGGAGCAAUCCUGGUGGCGAGUGGCGAACGGGUGAGUAAUAUAUCGGAACGUGCCCAGUCGUGGGGGAUAACGCAGCGAAAGCUGUGCUAAUACCGCAUACGAUCUACGGAUGAAAGCGGGGGAUCGCAAGACCUCGCGCGAUUGGAGCGGCCGAUAUCAGAUUAGCGAGUUGGUGGGGUAAAGGCCCACCAAGGCGACGAUCUGGAGCUGGUCUGAGAGGACGACCAGCCAGGGUGGAACUGGGACACGGUUCAGGCUCCUACGGGAGGCAGCAGGGGGGAAUUUUGGACAAUGGGCGCAAGCCUGAUCCAGCAAUGCCGCGUGCAGGAUGAAGGCCUUCGGGUUGUAAACUGCUUUUGUACGGAACGAAACGGCCCUUUCUAAUACAGGGGGCUAAUGACGGUACCGUAAGAAUAAGCACCGGCUAACUACGUGCCAGCAGCCGCAGUAA